UUUUUAGUGUAAGUAUGUUCCACGCAAUAUUUGAGAUGUACUUAUGCUAAAA
Molecule: microRNA precursor, 52 nt
Organism: Camelus ferus (Wild Bactrian camel)
Lineage: Eukaryota; Metazoa; Chordata; Mammalia; Artiodactyla; Camelidae
Rfam family: mir-1302 microRNA precursor family
Source: Rfam